AACGAACGCUGGCGGCAGGUCUUAGGCAUGCAAGUCGAACGGGUGUAGUAAUACACCAGUGGCGAACGAGUGAGUAACGCGUGGGAAUCUGCCCAUCUCUGGGGAAUAACGUUUGGAAACGAACGCUAAUACCGCAUACGCCCGCAAGGGGAAAGAUUUAUCGGAGAUGGAUGAGCCCGCGCUGGAUUAGUUAGUUGGUGGGGUAACGGCCUACCAAGGCGAUGAUCCAUAGCUGGUCUGAGAGGACGAUCAGCCACGCUGGAACCGAGAUACGGUCGAGACUCAUACUGGAGGCAGCAGCUAAGAAUAUUGGGCAAUGGAGGAAACUCUGACCCAGCCGUGCCGCGUGAAGGAAGAAGGCCUUCGGGUUGUAAAGUUCUUUUAGUCGUGACGAUGAUGACGGUAGCGACAGAAAAAGCACCGGCUAACUUCGUGCCAGCGCCGCGGUAA
Molecule: ribosomal RNA, 450 nt
Filed under: uncultured bacterium
Lineage: Bacteria
Description: partial 16S ribosomal RNA
Rfam family: Bacterial small subunit ribosomal RNA
Source: RNAcentral